Molecule: long non-coding RNA, 504 nt
Organism: Octopus sinensis (East Asian common octopus)
Lineage: Eukaryota; Metazoa; Mollusca; Cephalopoda; Octopoda; Octopodidae
Exons: 3
Source: RefSeq, a predicted model, not a curated record
ACAAACUUCUUCAUAUCAAAGUAAAAAAAAAGGUGGAACAUAUUCACUUUACUAAUUGAGGUAUUGGUGUAAUUAUAAUAAACAGGUGUAUAUAUACUAUAUGUGCAGGUGUGUUCAUAAAUAUAUAUAUAUACAUACAUUUCUGUCCAUUUUGAUGGGUACAGUUGUUAGUUAAAGAGAUCUAGUGUACACACAUGCCACACUAAGAAGUUUGAUGACAUUUGGAAGUCAUAGAAAUAAGCAAAAAUCAGUUAGGAGGGUGAAAAAUCCAAACCCAGUCAGUUGGUUCCUGGUAUCACAUCUCCUCAGCCUCUUACAAGGCUUAUCAAUCUUCACUCAUCACUUUAUCAUACAUGAGAUGGUGUUGUUUAGGUGGAAUACUGGAAUAUGGUAUGUGCACACAUCAUGUAUUCUGAGUCUAUAAAAUGGUAUGUGAAUAAGUUGAAGGAAAAUUUUACUAAAAAAUAUUUUGGACAGUUUUUUUGUACUAAGAAUGAAAGAAGA